CCUACGGGAGGCUGCAGUGGGGAAUAUUGCACAAUGGGCGCAAGCCUGAUGCAGCCAUGCCGCGUGUGUGAAGAAGGCCUUCGGGUUGUAAAGCACUUUCAGCGGGGAGGAAGGCGGUGAGGUUAAUAACCUCAUCGAUUGACGUUACCCGCAGAAGAAGCACCGGCUAACUCCGUGCCAGCAGUCGCGGUAAUACGGAGGGUGCAAGCGUUAAUCGGAAUUACUGGGCGUAAAGCGCACGCAGGCGGUCUGUCAAGUCGGAUGAGAAAUCCCCGGGCUCAACCUGGGAACUGCAUUCGAAACUGGCAGGCUAGAGUCUUGUAGAGGGGGGUAGAAUUCCAGGUGUAGCGGUGAAAUGCGUAGAGAUCUGGAGGAAUACCGGUGGCGAAGGCGGCCCCCUGGACAAAGACUGACGCUCAGGUGCGAAAGCGUGGGGAGCAAACAGGAUUAGAUACCCCGGUAGUC
Molecule: ribosomal RNA, 465 nt
Filed under: uncultured Klebsiella sp.
Lineage: Bacteria; Pseudomonadati; Pseudomonadota; Gammaproteobacteria; Enterobacterales; Enterobacteriaceae
Description: bacterial SSU rRNA
Rfam family: Bacterial small subunit ribosomal RNA
Source: RNAcentral